AAAAAAGGUAAGCUACUAAGAGCGAAUGGUGGAUGCCUUGACUGGUAAAGGCGAUGAAGGACGUACUAGACUGCGAUAAGCUACGGGGAGCUGUCAAGAAGCUUUGAUCCGUAGAUUUCCGAAUGGGGCAACCCAAUGUAUAGAGAUAUACAUUACCUAUAUAGGAGCGAACGAGGGGAAUUGAAACAUCUUAGUACCCUCAGGAAAAGAAAUCAAUAGAGAUUGCGUCAGUAGCGGCGAGCGAAAGCGCAAGAGGGCAAACCCAGUGCUUGCACUGGGGGUUGUAGGACUGCAAUGUGCAAGAGGUAAGUUUAGCAGAACAUUCUGGAAAGUAUAACCAUAGAGGGUGAUAGUCCCGUAUGCGAAAAACAAACCUUAGCUAGCAGUAUCCUGAGUAGGGCGGGACACGAGGAAUCCUGUCUGAAUCUGGGUCGACCACGAUCCAACCCUAAAUACUAAUACCAGAUCGAUAGUGCACAAGUACCGUGAGGGAAAGGUGAAAAGAACUGAGGUGAUCAGAGUGAAAUAGAACCUGAAACCAUUUGCUUACAAUCAUUCAGAGCCCUAUGUAGCAAUACAGGGUGAUGGACUGCCUUUUGCAUAAUGAGCCUGCGAGUUGUGGUGUCUGGCAAGGUUAAGCAAACGCGAAGCCGUAGCGAAAGCGAGUCUGAAUAGGGCGCUUAGUCAGAUGCUGCAGACCCGAAACGAAGUGAUCUAUCCAUGAGCAAGUUGAAGCUAGUGUAAGAACUAGUGGAGGACUGAACCCAUAGGCGUUGAAAAGCCCCGGGAUGACUUGUGGAUAGGGGUGAAAGGCCAAUCAAACUUCGUGAUAGCUGGUUCUCUCCGAAAUAUAUUUAGGUAUAGCGUUGUGUCGUAAUAUAAGGGGGUAGAGCACUGAAUGGGCUAGGGCAUACACCAAUGUACCAAACCCUAUCAAACUCCGAAUACCUUAUAUGUAAUCACAGCAGUCAGGCGGCGAGUGAUAAAAUCCGUCGUCAAGAGGGAAACAACCCAGACUACCAGCUAAGGUCCCUAAAUCUUACUUAAGUGGAAAACGAUGUGAAGUUACUUAAACAACCAGGAGGUUGGCUUAGAAGCAGCCAUCCUUUAAAGAAAGCGUAAUAGCUCACUGGUCUAGUGAUUUUGCGCGGAAAAUAUAACGGGGCUAAAGUAAGUACCGAAGCUGUAGACUUGCGCACAACUUAGAUUAUUUAAGUUUAGAAUAUGAGAAACUAAGUUAUAUGUUUAGUUAUAUUUUUACUGAUUUUUAUAGAGUAAAGAUAGAAAUAAAACUUAGUAAAAUCAGUAAAAAUAUUCUUAGACUAAAGUUAAGUAGUUUAAGUUGUGUGCAAGUGGUAGGAGAGCGUUCUAUUUGCGUCGAAGGUAUACCGGUAAGGAGUGCUGGAGCGAAUAGAAGUGAGCAUGCAGGCAUGAGUAGCGAUAAUUAAUGUGAGAAUCAUUAACGCCGUAAACCCAAGGUUUCCUACGCGAUGCUCGUCAUCGUAGGGUUAGUCGGGUCCUAAGUCGAGUCCGAAAGGGGUAGACGAUGGCAAAUUGGUUAAUAUUCCAAUACCAACAUUAGUGUGCGAUGGAAGGACGCUUAGGGCUAAGGGGGCUAGCGGAUGGAAGUGCUAGUCUAAGGUCGUAGGAGGUUAUACAGGCAAAUCCGUAUAACAAUACUCCGAGAACUGAAAGGCUUUUUGAAGUCUUCGGAUGGAUAGAAGAACCCCUGAUGCCGUCGAGCCAAGAAAAGUUUCUAAGUUUAGCUAAUGUUGCCCGUACCGUAAACCGACACAGGUGGGUGGGAUGAGUAUUCUAAGGCGCGUGGAAGAACUCUCUUUAAGGAACUCUGCAAAAUAGCACCGUA
Molecule: ribosomal RNA, 1867 nt
Filed under: Campylobacter coli
Lineage: Bacteria; Pseudomonadati; Campylobacterota; Epsilonproteobacteria; Campylobacterales; Campylobacteraceae
Description: partial 23S ribosomal RNA
Rfam family: Bacterial large subunit ribosomal RNA
Source: RNAcentral